Molecule: long non-coding RNA, 932 nt
Filed under: Malus domestica (apple)
Lineage: Eukaryota; Viridiplantae; Streptophyta; Magnoliopsida; Rosales; Rosaceae
Description: long non-coding RNA (MDOM_LNC017986)
Source: RNAcentral
CUAUUUUGUCAGAUAAAAAUAGACCACAACACAGUUGAUUUCUUUUUUCUUUUUUUUCACUCUUUUUUUCUUUACAGCAAACAUCAACUUUUUUUUUCUUUUUUUCUUUUCAUAUUUAUUUCACCAUAUUUUUCUAUAACAAUAUUUAGCCCCCAACAUUUUGAACUCUCUCCUCUUGAAGAAUUACUCCACAAGCUCUUUAAAUGGAUAUGAAAUUUUUUUUACGAGGCUAGAUAGAGAAAAAAUUGGUUUAAGAACAAAAAGGUUCACAUAAAGGCUUAAAAUGGCUAACUAGGGAAAAUAAUCAUAAAGGUUGGCUAGAAAGGCUCAAACGGAGGGGGGGGGAAAUGCCUAUAUCAUUUCCAAGAUUUUAGAUGAAUUGAUGAAUGGAAAAAAAAGGUAUAAAGCAAGUUCUAGAGAUACAUGUAAAAUGAGAUUAUACGAACAAGAAUAAAUGAGAUUGAUGCAUAAUGGUUUAAUCUAUAAUAGGCUCAAAAGCUCACAAGGAGUACCUAAACUCACUAGAUUUACAUAUGAAACUUUAAAUCAUGCUCUAGUUUCACACCAAUAAGGCUAUGUGCAUUUGUUUUUCCAAGUCAUGAUCAUCAAAAAAUAUAGUUUAAACGAAGAUAAUGUAAAGAAUUAAUGUCAAACUUAAAUUUCUUGAAAGUUAGAGGAAAUAAAAACCGAAUAUCAUCACUGUAUGAAUUGGGAACCAACCAACAAUAACAAGACUCAAAGAAAAUUAAAAUGUUUUUGGAUUUUUCAGAAGUUUAUAUUUUUUAUGUAUUUAUUUACUUUAUUUUUUCUAGAACUAAAACGAAGAAGACUAAAAAAUGAAGAGAAGAGUAAAGAAAAUAGACUACAAAGGUACAUAAAAAAAUGAAUCAAUAAAGCUUUUGGACAAAGAAACUUCCUGGGUUUAAAGGAGA